CUACGGGUUGCUGCAGUGAGGAAUAUUGCACAAUGGGGGGAACCCUGAUGCAGCAACGCCGCGUGGAGGAUGACGCAUUGCGGUGUGUAAACUCCUUUUAUAUGUCAAGAAAAUGACGGUAGCAUAUGAAUAAGCACCGGCUAACGUCCGUGCCAGCAGCCGCGGUAAUACGGAGGGUGCAAGCGUUACUCGGAAUCACUGGGCGUAAAGGACGCGUAGGUGGGUUGGAAAGUCAGGUGUGAAAUCCUACAGCUUAACUGUAGAACUGCACUUGAAACUUCUAAUCUAGAGUAUGGGAGGGGGAGAUGGAAUUAGUGGUGUAGGGGUAAAAUCCGUAGAUAUCACUAGGAAUACCUAAAGCGAAGGCGAUCUCCUGGAACAUCACUGACGCUAAGGCGUGAAAGCGUGGGGAGCAAACAGGAUUAGAUACCCGCGUAGUC
RNAcentral lists this ribosomal RNA (440 nucleotides) under uncultured bacterium. Its description in RNAcentral is "partial 16S ribosomal RNA". It matches the Rfam family "Bacterial small subunit ribosomal RNA", at positions 339 to 795 of the family's 1533-position model. The record is from RNAcentral.